ACAGAGACUUUUGCUCCAAUUCUCUAUGUUUUUAAAUUUAAGAAUGAAGAAGAGCUCUUUGUGUGAAAUAAUGAAGUAAAACAGGGUAUUUCAAGUAGCAUCUUUACCAAAGAUUUGGGCAGAAUCUUCCACUGGCUUGGACCUAAAAGAUCUAACUGUGGCAUUGUAAAUGUCAAUAUUCCAAUGAGCGGAGCUGAGAUUGCAGGUGCAUUUGGAGGAGAAAAGCACAUUUGUGGUGGCAGGGCAUCUGGUGAUGACUCCUGGAAAUAGUGCAUGAGAAGGUUUACUUGUAUCAUCAACUAUGGUAAGGAUCUUCCUCUGGUGAAAGGAAUCAAGUUUCAGUAA
This 345-nucleotide long non-coding RNA is filed under the name Homo sapiens (human). RNAcentral describes it as "non-protein coding lnc-GIMAP6-3:1". The record is from RNAcentral. Lineage: Eukaryota; Metazoa; Chordata; Mammalia; Primates; Hominidae.